Erythranthe guttata (spotted monkey flower) is the source of this 341-nucleotide non-coding RNA. The record is from RefSeq and is a predicted model, not a curated record. Lineage: Eukaryota; Viridiplantae; Streptophyta; Magnoliopsida; Lamiales; Phrymaceae.
AAAAAAACUUCUCUUCCCUAAUUACUUGGCGGCAGAGAGGAGCAGGAGCAGUUUGCUUGCAAUCGGCAGAGAGGAAGCGACGGAGAAGAAAUACUUGGUGGCAGAGAGGAAGCGGUAGAGAAAAACAAGGAUUAGUUUCCCUAAUUUCAGGCAUUAAGCACUAUGUCAACUAGUACAGAUAAUCCAUCGAAUGCAGAUAAUUCAGAACAAAAUUGUCCUAGUCUAUCUUCUUUAGCCCCACCCACGUCCGGGUCAGCAAAGACUAAAAUCCCAAAAGGUAAGAAGAAGAUUACAAUUGAAUAUGAUGGGGGAGUAGUAGGUGAAUACUCGAAACAAUGGAG